RNAcentral lists this long non-coding RNA (213 nucleotides) under Fukomys damarensis (Damara mole-rat). RNAcentral's name for it is "lncRNA (ENSFDAG00000028983.1)". The record is from RNAcentral. Lineage: Eukaryota; Metazoa; Chordata; Mammalia; Rodentia; Bathyergidae.
CUGGUACUGAUUAAAUGCAGUUAAACGUCAGGUGAGAGCAUAUGGCCUUGACAAAUGGAGAAAUGUUCCAGCCAAGGGACUAAAGCAACGGACUUCUAUUUUGAGGUCAAAAAUAUUUACCUAUUCACUUCAAAAGCACUGGAACUUCUCUGUAGUAUAUCUGAAUUGAGAGUAUCACUACUCUGUACUCUGGGGUCAUUACUGAAAAACUAA